RNAcentral lists this ribosomal RNA (773 nucleotides) under uncultured bacterium. Its description in RNAcentral is "bacterial SSU rRNA". It matches the Rfam family "Bacterial small subunit ribosomal RNA", at positions 8 to 778 of the family's 1533-position model. The record is from RNAcentral.
AGAGUUUGAUCCUGGCUCAGGAUGAACGCUAGCGGCAGGCUUAACACAUGCAAGUCGAGGGGUAACAGGGAAGCUUGCUUCCGCUGACGACCGGCGCACGGGUGCGUAACGCGUAUGCAACCUACCUCAUACUGGAGAAUAGCCCUUGGAAACGAGGAUUAAUGCUCCAUAGUAUCACAGAUUCGCAUGUUUUGUGAUUAAAGAAUUUCGGUAUGAGAUGGGCAUGCGUCCCAUUAGCUUGUUGGUGAGGUAACGGCUCACCAAGGCAACGAUGGGUAGGGGGCCUGAGAGGGUGACCCCCCACACUGGUACUGAGACACGGACCAGACUCCUACGGGAGGCAGCAGUGAGGAAUAUUGGGCAAUGGAGGCAACUCUGACCCAGCCAUGCCGCGUGAAGGAUGACGGCCCUAUGGGUUGUAAACUUCUUUUAUAUGGGAAGAAACUUAUCUACGUGUAGAUAACUGACGGUACCAUACGAAUAAGGAUCGGCUAACUCCGUGCCAGCAGCCGCGGUAAUACGGAGGAUCCAAGCGUUAUCCGGAUUCAUUGGGUUUAAAGGGUCCGUAGGCGGGUCUUUAAGUCAGUGGUGAAAGCCGACAGCUCAACUGUCGAACUGCCAUUGAUACUGGAGACCUUGAGUACAAAUGAAGUAGGCGGAAUGAGUCAUGUAGCGGUGAAAUGCAUAGAUAUGACUCAAAACACCGAUUGCGAAGGCAGCUUACUAACAUGUAACUGACGCUGAAGGAACAAAGCGUGGGGAGCGAACAGGAU